Molecule: ribosomal RNA, 86 nt
Filed under: Pedobacter lusitanus
Lineage: Bacteria; Pseudomonadati; Bacteroidota; Sphingobacteriia; Sphingobacteriales; Sphingobacteriaceae
Description: partial 23S ribosomal RNA
Source: RNAcentral
UAGCAGACUACUACGUUGAUAGGUUACAGAUGUAAAGCUGGUGACAGCAUAGUCGAGUAAUACUAAUCAUCCGAAGCUUUCAAGAG